Mus musculus (house mouse) is the source of this 1791-nucleotide long non-coding RNA. RefSeq annotates it as predicted gene, 31003. The record is from RefSeq and is a predicted model, not a curated record. NCBI's taxonomy places the organism in Eukaryota, Metazoa, Chordata, Mammalia, Rodentia, Muridae. The transcript is spliced from 3 exons.
GCAGCGGUGCCAGUGGAAGAGACUUCUGUUGAGUGGGUGCUUCUGCCUUCCUUGUUCUACAGGGUGGCUGGCUGCAGGGGAAUUGUGAUGGCAUGAGGCCCCCCAAGAAUUGCUGGGACCCUGUUAGGAGACGUUGUGCAUACCAUUCCUGUUUGUGUGUCCGUCCUCUCCAGAACCAACAGCGAACUUGGACCGAGGCAUUAGGAACCGUGCAGCUCGAAGACCCAGCUUGCUCCCUCCGCAAAACUUUUAAAAGACCUACUGACAUGGUCAGAAGCCAAAACAGAGACUUGGACUGCUGGAUAAAACCCAAGGGGCCACUCAGGCUCUUGUUUCCCAAUGGAAGCACAUUGGUCUCACAAAGGUUAAGUGACUUCAGUUACUGAAUAGCGAAGUGUGGAUGAGACCCUAGGGGCACACUGCGAGGUAGCCCCCGCCCACGAACUCAUCCCACUCCCACGCAGAUCCUCUCCAGGAGCUCCACCAGAAAAUUCAUUGACUUUUUUAUGAGGACCCGUGGGAGGAAGAAAUGUUUCUCAAGGCUAAGUAGCGAGAAUAACUAUGCUUCUUUGGGACUGUUCUCCAUUUUGUUCGUGGACUCUUGGAACGUGUAAUGGCUGGCUUCCCACUGAUGGUGCCAGCCAGGAAACUCAAGACUCUGGCAGUGAGCAGGAUAAUGAGUCUGAAAUGUAACCGCACCUGGAUUGCCUCAUGUUCCUGUACACCCACAGCCAGAUUUGGGUGGUCAUGAUUUCAUCAUUUAUCAUGGACACUGACUCAUUCCAUGCUGGGGCAAACUAAAUAUUUACUGAAUAAAUCUUCCAAGCUGCUACCAGAAAAUGGGAUGUGUUGGAAGCAAAGAAGCUGUCACAGAAAACAGAGUAACUGCAGCUGAGGAAGAAACUGGAAUCCGUUUCUCUGCACCAAAGCUGACGGCAAAGCCUUCUGGCAUCCUCUGGUUUUGAAGAAACAACUCUAAACUGUGGGGUUUUUUUUUUAUUGUUGUUGUUUGUUUGUUUGUUUGUUUGUUUUUUGUUUUUGUUGUUCUGUUCUAUCUUCUUUUUACUUCAAGGUGGUGGGGGAGCCAGAUGUUACUCUCAACACAUCGUUAAAUAGCCAUCCUUUCCCUUGAGUACCUACCUGAGGUUUGCCAGUAUUCUUACAAAUACCAGCUAAUCUUGGCUCUGACCCUAGAAAGCAUCCAAUGACGGUCAAGAAAAUGGACCUGCCCACCUAUCCACCCACCAAUCCAGUGGAUGGGAACACUGGAACCUGUACAACAAAGACAAGUAGGGAAGAAACUGAAACGAAACUCCAAGGCGCUAAAGCAUCCUACAACUAGGUUGUGAAAAGACACACUAUUCCUUCCACCCCUGGUUUAACCCGGGGAUGGUUCACAGACAAGCAGUCACGGCGCUUUUAUACAUCACAGAUUCCGUUUAUUUCAGAAAAUGUGAGGUCAAUUUUUUUCUGUCUGACUCUAUUGGCUAUUCCCUUUCAUGCCUUCAGAUGUACUCCGGUGCUGAUUUCUAUCAUCAAGUUCUUUGAUCUUCAACGGUAAAGUCUACUUCCUUUAGGGCCGUUGGAAUAACUGUGCAUCAGAAACAAUGACAGCCGGGGCUAUAGCUGUGGACAUACUGAGCUUCUCUAGUCAAUACUGCUAACAGAGGUAAAAAUAAAGGAAUUGUGAAAGACACAUUUAAAAUAUCCUACCGAAAUGGAGGAGCUAGAGAAAGUACCCAAGGAGCUAAAGGGAUCUGCAACCCUAUAGGUGGAUCAACAUUAUGAACU